CAAGGACUAAAGAAUCUUCUUUAUUUCAGGCUUUGAAGGCCUGGAGUUUCUAUAACUUAAGACCUU
Molecule: transfer RNA, 66 nt
Filed under: Varioconus mercator
Lineage: Eukaryota; Metazoa; Mollusca; Gastropoda; Neogastropoda; Conidae
Also listed under: 2 other names
Description: tRNA-Trp
Source: RNAcentral